GUGAGGAAUAUUGCGCAAUGGAGGCAACUCUGACGCAGCCAUGCCGCGUGCAGGAAGAAGGCGCUACGCGUUGUAAACUGCUUUUAACCGGGAAGAAACCCCAGGACGUGUCCUGGGUUGACGGUACCGGAGGAAUAAGCACCGGCUAACUUCGUGCCAGCAGCCGCGGUAAUACGAAGGGUGCAAGCGUUAUCCGGAUUCAUUGGGUUUAAAGGGUGCGUAGGCGGAGCGUUAAGUCAGUGGUGAAAUCCUGCAGCUUAACUGUAGACUUGCCAUUGAUACUGGCGCUCUUGAGUGCGCUUGAAGUGGGCGGAAUGUGCCGUGUAGCGGUGAAAUGCUUAGAUAUGGCACAGAACACCAAUUGCGAAGGCAGCUCACUAAGGCGAUACUGACGCUGAGGUGCGAAAGCGUGGGGAGCAAACAGGAUUAGAAACCCCUGUAGUCC
RNAcentral lists this ribosomal RNA (445 nucleotides) under uncultured bacterium. RNAcentral's name for it is "partial 16S ribosomal RNA". It matches the Rfam family "Bacterial small subunit ribosomal RNA", at positions 354 to 796 of the family's 1533-position model. The record is from RNAcentral.